This is a long non-coding RNA of Sinocyclocheilus grahami, 446 nucleotides long. RefSeq lists it as uncharacterized. The record is from RefSeq and is a predicted model, not a curated record. NCBI's taxonomy places the organism in Eukaryota, Metazoa, Chordata, Actinopteri, Cypriniformes, Cyprinidae. The transcript is spliced from 3 exons.
CGGAAAUGGCAAGAAAAGGAGUGGGGCCGCCUGUAUGUUUCAGCCAGGACAUUCACUGGAUGGACCUUCUAGUUCAGUUCCUCUGGGUAGUGUGGUUUUCAUCUACUGCACUCAGGAUCAGAUCUCAGAAAGUGAUGAGAAACUUCCAUCACUUGUAAAGUGACCAGCACUGUUCUAUUUGUGUCAAUAAAACUGGGUUAUUUAUUUGGAGCACGAAGCUGAAAGCAGCCAAAAAUCCACCACAGGCCAUGUGCAUGUGCACACAUCUCUAUACACGUGAGUAAGAUCGCAGGUGUGUGUUUGAGGUGGUGUGUGUGUGUGUGGGUGUGUGCGCAAUGACCAACUGAUCUAGCUGAUAUUUAACCUAAUCUCUGUGAAUGGGGUAUUCAGAAAUGUGCACAUGUAAGCGCUACACCGAAUCCACUCUAUAGCACCACGCACUCAUA